ACAACAUUUGGACCGUAUGUUUACCGAGCAACACCAACCGCUCGGUGGAAGAUUUUCCCUCUGUCGU
RNAcentral lists this microRNA precursor (67 nucleotides) under Bombyx mori (domestic silkworm). Its description in RNAcentral is "mir-2774 microRNA precursor family". It matches the Rfam family "mir-2774 microRNA precursor family". Lineage: Eukaryota; Metazoa; Arthropoda; Insecta; Lepidoptera; Bombycidae. The record is from Rfam by way of RNAcentral.